UCUGGGAGUUGAAGUCCACCCAUCUUCAAGCUUCCAAGGUUGAGAAACAGUGGGCUAGGGAAUUCUGGGAGUUGAAGUCCACCCAUCUUCAAGCUUCCAAGGUUGAGAAACACUGGGCUAGGGGAUUCUGGGAGUUGAAGUCCACCCAUCUUCAAGCUUCCAAGGUUGAGAAACACUGGGCUAGGGGAUUCUGGGAGUUGAAGUCCACCCAUCUUCAAGCUUCCAAGGUUGAGAAACAGUGGGCUAGGGGAUUCUGGGAGUUGAAGUCCACCCAUCUUCAAGCUUCCAAGGUUGAGAAACACUGGGCUAGGGAAUUCUGGGAGUUGAAGUCCACCCAUCUUCAAGCUUCCAAGGUUGAGAAACAGUGGGCUAGGGAAUUCUGGGAGUUGAAGUCCACCCAUCUUCAAGCUUCCAAGGUUGAGAAACAGUGGGCUAGGGAAUUCUGGGAGUUGAAGUCCACCCAUCUUCAAGCUUCCAAGGUUGAGAAACACUGGGCUAGGGAAUUCUGGGAGUUGAAGUCCACCCAUCUUCAAGCUUCCAAGGUUGAGAAACAGUGGGCUAGGGGAUUCUGGGAGUUGAAGUCCACCCAUCUUCAAGCUUCCAAGGUUGAGAAA
This is a non-coding RNA of Pantherophis guttatus, 614 nucleotides long. The record is from RefSeq and is a predicted model, not a curated record. Lineage: Eukaryota; Metazoa; Chordata; Lepidosauria; Squamata; Colubridae.